This 542-nucleotide ribosomal RNA is filed under the name uncultured bacterium. Its description in RNAcentral is "bacterial SSU rRNA". It matches the Rfam family "Bacterial small subunit ribosomal RNA", at positions 107 to 645 of the family's 1533-position model. The record is from RNAcentral.
UGAGUAACGUMUGGGGAUCUGCCGAAUGGAGGGGGACAACAGUUGGAAACGACUGCUAAUACCGCAUAAUGUCGCGAGACCAAAGCAUGGGACCUUAGGGCCAUGCGCCAUUUGAUGAACCCAUAUGGGAUUAGCUAGUAGGUGAGGUAAUGGCUCACCUAGGCGACGAUCUCUAGCUGGUCUGAGAGGAUGACCAGCCACACUGGGACUGAGACACGGCCCAGACUCCUACGGGAGGCAGCAGUGGGGAAUAUUGCACAAUGGGGGAAACCCUGAUGCAGCCAUGCCGCGUGUAUGAAGAAGGCCUUCGGGUCGUAAAGUACUUUCGGUAGCGAGGAAGGGGUUAUAUCUAAUAGGUGUAACCAUUGACGUUAACUACAGAAGAAGCACCGGCUAACUCCGUGCCAGCAGCCGCGGUAAUACGGAGGGUGCGAGCGUUAAUCGGAAUGACUGGGCGUAAAGGGCAUGUANGCGGAUAGUUAAGUUAGGUGUGAAAGCCCCGGGCUCAACCUGGGAAUUGCAUUUAAAACUGGUUAUCUGGA